Molecule: small nucleolar RNA, 138 nt
Organism: Tachyglossus aculeatus (Australian echidna)
Lineage: Eukaryota; Metazoa; Chordata; Mammalia; Monotremata; Tachyglossidae
Source: RefSeq, a predicted model, not a curated record
UCCUUCUCAGGAUUGCACCUGGAGAGUUUGCAGUCCUCUACCAGCCUCAGCGAUGGGAGGGAGAGUCAAGCAGAGACAUAGCCAUUCCAUUCCUAGCUUGGGCAGUGACUAGUGAAUGGAAGACAAUCUGCUACAAGU